Molecule: ribosomal RNA, 469 nt
Filed under: Flavobacterium sp. 01WB03.3-17
Lineage: Bacteria; Pseudomonadati; Bacteroidota; Flavobacteriia; Flavobacteriales; Flavobacteriaceae
Description: bacterial SSU rRNA
Rfam family: Bacterial small subunit ribosomal RNA
Source: RNAcentral
UGAGCUUGAUCCUGGCUCAGGAUGAACGCUAGCGGCAGGCUUAACACAUGCAAGUCGAGGGGUAUGUUUCUUCGGAAGCAGAGACCGGCGCACGGGUGCGUAACGCGUAUGCAAUCUACCUUUUACAGAGGGAUAGCCCAGAGAAAUUUGGAUUAAUACCUCAUAGUAUUACGACUCGGCAUCGAGAUGUAAUUAAAGUCACAACGGUAAAAGAUGAGCAUGCGUCCCAUUAGCUUGUUGGUAAGGUAACGGCUUACCAAGGCUACGAUGGGUAGGGGUCCUGAGAGGGAGAUCCCCCACACUGGUACUGAGACACGGACCAGACUCCUACGGGAGGCAGCAGUGAGGAAUAUUGGACAAUGGGCGCAAGCCUGAUCCAGCCAUGCCGCGUGCAGGAUGACGGUCCUAUGGAUUGUAAACUGCUUUUAUACAGGAAGAAACACCUCUACGUGUAGAGACUGACGGUACG